Molecule: non-coding RNA, 178 nt
Organism: Nicotiana sylvestris (wood tobacco)
Lineage: Eukaryota; Viridiplantae; Streptophyta; Magnoliopsida; Solanales; Solanaceae
Source: Rfam
CUGCACACGUUUAUUCAAAGGCUACGCUAAAAAUAUUGAAAUAGCGGAGCCUUGAGUGAAAGUGCAAAAAGGGAAUGCUGAUUUAAAUCAGCGGCGGCCAGACAACCGCUGAGAUGAAUCCACAGGUGGGUUCCUUUUUUUUAUAAUGGUACUUGUCUACUAAUUUCAUUUCACACUC